CUUGGAUUAGUGUACACCUAUGGUAGACCGUGUGCCAGCGUACGGGUUGGCCGGUCUAGUGACUUGGUUUGUGGCCACAUUCCAAGUCAUGUAUGAGUAGAUAUGGUAGACGUCUAUGGGAAAAUGGCUGCCCUGCCGCGAGUUUUGAACGAUGAAAUAUUUUGGUGCCUCGGGCCUUUCUAAAGCUAAAACCCCGAUGGUUACUUGAAAAUGACAUGAUAAAUAUAAUAUUUUGAUAACUGUGUUUUCGGCAUAAGUCCACUGAGUAUUUAUAGUACUCAGCCCUGCAUGUGUUUUUCUUAUGCGCAGGUUGAACGGCGACGAGCUGGGUGGUGUUGAGCUUAAAUUGAAGUCAUGCUGGUUAUUAUUUGAAUUCCGAGUGCCGUCGUGUCUUCAUACAUGACACCACUAUUUCUCUUGAACGCUUCCGCUGAGAUGAUACUAUUUUUCACAAUUUUGCUUUGAACCUCAUUUACUCUUGGAUUAUUAAUUAUGAUAUCUAUUGACCUUGGAUUUAAUUGCUAAGACAUUACUCUGAUUUUUCCUCUGUUAUUUGAAUAUUAAAUAUUUUGGUCAACUCUUUAUUGAAACCCUAGAAUAUUUCCCUUUCUUAAAGUCAUAUUAGUCGCAACCACCCGCAUUUAUCAACCCUAGAAAGGGCGGUCGUGACACGUACUCUAGGCACUAAUUGCUCGACAUCUGUAACAGCAUGGACAACAUUUGGAGAUAUGUGACAUAUAUGGUGUGUGGUGCUAUUGUCGAGGCACAUGAGCCUGAGCGUGUUGUGUGACAAUUUGCUGGGACUCCUUUCAUUCCAGAAAUGCAUGAUUGUGGAUUCAAUGAUUCUCAUUUCAAUACAAACCGUUGAGCGAUAUCUAAGAAGAAUUGACAAUUAGAGAAUAUGAAUUAUAUUCAACAAUGGGGAGAGAAGGUUGGACACUAUGUCUACCAACUACUUGGAACCUCCCGGAAGUGAUUAGGAGCUGGUGGACAGAACACGGGCGUACAAGAAGUGGUAUAACAAGAUAACAUUACAUACAUCACUCGGUCGGGCAGUCGCCCAAAUGUGGUGAUGAACACUGGUGCAUCAUCAUCAACGAUAACUGAAGUUUGUUCAUAAUUGCCUUGUUGAAUGCGGCAAGAGUGGGCAUAUAGUCUUGCCUGCUACACAACGUACAUAUAUGGAUAUGUCCCGGGGUUUCGGUCCAAUAGCCCGUGGUUGUGGUCAGAAAGGUGUCCAAACUGACAGACAUGGUAAUUUUACGUCAUUUCAUGAUGUCCUAGGACAUGCCAAAGUCAUCACAUGACACAGAUGAAGAAAAUAAGAAUUGAGAUGACAACAUGGAUAUCCACGACCAAGACAUACCAGAGUCAUUACAUGACGCAGCUGAAGAAAAUAGGAAUUGGGAUGACGACAUGGAUAUCCAUGAUCAUAAUAAUUCAGAAAUGCAGAAUCAACUAGCACCAGAUCUAUCUGUUCAUAUGAUGCCUCCCUCCAGCUGAUGCUGAAGUAGAUGAUGGAAAUGAAAAUGUUGAUGCUACAAAGGAUAGUGCACACGUGGACCGCCCCACUAUACCAAUUAGAAGGUCUAAAUGUGUGAAUAAGGGAAAGAAGCCAAAUAAAUAUACACCAGGAUAGUGCAUGUGUAAACUGUAUUAUGUGAUUGUAUUGGAAUACUUGUCGAGUAUUGUGUUGGAACAUUUACCUUUAUUGUAUUGUUGGAUUUUGUAGGAGUUA
Molecule: long non-coding RNA, 1738 nt
Organism: Salvia splendens (bonfire salvia)
Lineage: Eukaryota; Viridiplantae; Streptophyta; Magnoliopsida; Lamiales; Lamiaceae
Exons: 2
Source: RefSeq, a predicted model, not a curated record